GCGUUGAUGGCGCAGUGGUUAACGCUGCCGGCCACCGAUCUUUUGCCCACCCGGGUUCGAACCCAGGUGGUGGUU
This is a non-coding RNA of Caenorhabditis brenneri, 75 nucleotides long. NCBI's taxonomy places the organism in Eukaryota, Metazoa, Nematoda, Chromadorea, Rhabditida, Rhabditidae. The record is from the annotation of a GenBank genome assembly.